AGUCAAUAGAUACCCGGGUAGUCCAUGCCGUAAACGAUGAUUGCUAGGUGUGGGGGGUCUGACCCCUUCCGUGCCGGAGUUAAACACAAAUAAGCAAUCCACCUGGGGAGUACGGCCGCAAGGUUGAAACUCAAAGGAAUUGACGGGGGCCCGCACAAGCAGUGGAGUAUGUGGUUUAAUUCGAAGCAACGCGAAGAACCUUACCAGGUCUUGACAUCCACCGAAUCCUGUAGAGAUACGGGAGUGCCCUUCGGGGAACGGUGAGACAGGUGGUGCAUGGUUGUCGUCAGCUCGUGUCGUGAGAUGUUGGGUUAAGUCCCGCAACGAGCGCAACCCUUGUGAAUAGUUGCUACGAAAGAGCACUCUAUUCAGACCGCCGUUGACAAAACGGAGGAAGGUGGGGAUGACGCCAAAUCAUCAU
Molecule: ribosomal RNA, 421 nt
Filed under: uncultured bacterium
Lineage: Bacteria
Description: bacterial SSU rRNA
Rfam family: Bacterial small subunit ribosomal RNA
Source: RNAcentral